CCUACGGGUGGCAGCAGUGGGGAAUAUUGCACAAUGGGGGAAACCCUGAUGCAGCGACGCCGCGUGAGUGAAGAAGUAUUUCGGUAGGUAAAGCUCUAUCAGCAGGGAAGAAAAUGACGGUACCUUAUUAAGAAGCCCCGGCUAACUACGUGCCAGCAGCCGCGGUCAUACGUAGGGGGCAAGCGUUAUCCGGAUUUACUGGGUGGAAAGGGAGCGUAGCCGGCAGGGCAAGUCUGAAGUGAAAUGCCGGGGCUUAACCCCUGAACUGCUUUGGAAACUGUGCAGCUAGAGUGCAGGAGAGGUAAGUGGAAUUCCUAGUGUAGCGGUGAAAUGCUUAGAUAUCACGAAGAACGCCGAUUGCGAAGGCAGCUCACUGGACUGCAACUGACACUGAUGCUCGAAAGUGUGGGUAUCAAACAGGAUUAGAUACCCGAGUAGUC
RNAcentral lists this ribosomal RNA (440 nucleotides) under uncultured bacterium. Its description in RNAcentral is "partial 16S ribosomal RNA". It matches the Rfam family "Bacterial small subunit ribosomal RNA", at positions 338 to 795 of the family's 1533-position model. The record is from RNAcentral.